CAAUUACAAAUUCAGAGGAAAUCCCAUAUAUCGUGGAGUCAGCUUUCUUUUGGAUAUUUUUUUUCACUUUUCGGCAUCAGUGAAAAACUGCUACAGCAUACGAUUUUUAAACACCUGUUUUUAAGAUACGUAUACUGGUUAUCAAAAUAGAUACAUACUGAUCGUGUAACCUAUUUGGAGCACAUGACAUUAACAUUCGGCUUGGAAUGGACUGACCAUUUAAUGCAUGUUACGGGAGAAUUUUGUUACAGACAGUAUCAUAUUUUUCAGGACACACAGCAUAUCCAGCAAAACAAUUUGUUUGAUGAUACAUGAGGCGAAAUUAUUCUCUUUGCAGCGAACGUUAUACCAACGUUGCCCCAGUAUUGGGCCAAUACCGCAUCUGCGAUCUACGAGAGACAUCAACCGCAAUAAAUCAACGUCUGGCCAAUGGUCACCGCCAUACAAAUGGAACUGGAAGAUUGCGGCGGUGUAGUAGAUGUUAAAGCGCUCGCUCUUGAAGCAGACAACCCACGGUACGAUGGGGAAUCAGACAACUUAGUACUUGGGAUGAAAGCGUGACAUUUCGAAGGUGAACACCCGUCAUGAGAAUGGAGUUUGUCUUUGGCUGGUGAGUUUUAUGGCAUGUUAUGCAAUGUCCUUCCUGCUCAUCGAAGUUUCAACUACCCAUGACCAGUUCCAUUGGUCGGAGAGCCGCUAUAAUACAUGAGGUCAGUGGUGCGGCUGCAGCUGCAGAGGCGUCAUAACACUCUCAUGUGUAAUAACCUUGGCUGCAGAGCCGUUAUAACACUCUCAUAUGUAAUAACCUUGGCUGCAGAGCCGUUAUAACACUCUCAUAUGUAAUAACCUUGGCUGCAGAGCCGUUAUAACACUCUCAUAUGUAAUAACCUUGGCUGCAGAGCCGUUAUAAUAGUCUCAUAUGUAAUAACGUUGGCUACAGAGCCGUUAUAACACUCAUAUGUAAAUAUUAUGUUGGCUACAGAGCCGUUAUAACACUCUCAUAUGUAAUUAUAUUGGGUAUGACGGUGUAUUCGGGGGUUUCCUUGGUAUUGCGUUUUAUUCCUGAGUAUAGCGGCGUAUUCCUUGGUUUGAUUGGGUAUUCCUUGGUAUUGCGGGGUAUUCCGAGGCUGUGAGAGCAGCACAUGCUUGCCCUUAGAGCCGACUAUUAUGAUAAUCAGAUGGUCACGGUUUGUGAGUAGGUCUAAGGCACUGCAAUGUGAGGAGUUGAAUCUCUCAGGAAUGCCGGACACCUAGGACCGUGGGUGAAUCCCAGUUCGUCCUGAUAGUUUUGAGGUUUGUCAGCGCCAUACCGAUGAGUUUCACUUCUUAUCAAUUCCCAGAUUUUGUAAUAAGUAACUUGUGUGAAACUGGGACGCUGUCUGUGUAAUAGUAAAUGCAAGAUAUAUAUGCUGAAUCAAAUCUUCCUCAGCUGAUACAGGUUGUCGUGUUUUAGGGAUAUGAAUCUAAUUGGUUGAUGCAUGUCAUCGUAUCACAACUGCAUAGAUCAAAACUCAUGGGGUAAUUAUAAUCACUGGACUGUCUGGUCCAAAUUGAUUGUAUACAGACUGCCACUAUAUGGUUGUAAUAUUGUUGUGUGGCGUUAAUCAACAAACAUGAUGUAAGUAUUUAUGAGUAACCUUGAUCUCCAGUGUCAUCUAAUUAGGUCAGAAAUAUUCCCCUGGAGGUAAACUGGAAGUACAUCAGACGAGAAAUGGUCCAUAUGAUAUUUUGAACAGUGAAACGAAGGGCCAACAGUACAUGCAACAUAAGUGAGCGAGUAGGUUUUUACACCGCUUUGGGCAAUAGUCCAGCAAUAUCAUGACCGGGGACACCAAUUAAGGCUUCACAUCGUACCCAUGUGGGGAAUGGAACCCGGGUCUUCGGCGUGACGAGCGAACGAUUUAACCACUCGGCGACCCCACCGCCCAGAAGCCUCCGUGCAGAAACGUGUGUCAGCUUCAUGUAUUCAGUGGUUUAUUGAACAUGUCCCUAGAUUUACUAAGGUGAUCAAAGUAACUGAUGGCUCUAGUGGUUGGACAAACCUUUUAUUUAUGUGUCAAUCUAUUGUUAGAUGUAAACAUUAUGACAGGGUCACUUCAAAUAAAGCUCUGUCCGUGGGCCACGGCACGUGACAAGACAGGCCAAUCAGGGCUGAGUAUGGUGAACGGGUCGCCCGUGCAGCAUGUGCAGAUCAGCCUUGUCUUCCGAUCUGGUCGAUCUGAAAAAGUAUUUUGCGUGCCGGCGGGCAGCCUUCCUUGGUGACACUAACAUUUGAUGACAGGUGGAGAACGUUUGAAGGUACAACAAAUGAAAAUCCAACGUGUAAGUCAAAAAAUGACUUUGUAAUCCAUUUUCAUGACAGUUUUUGUUGAGUGUGUCACACGGAGUCAGGCCAGCGUGCCCGACCCAGAGGGAGAGAAUUCGGUUAUCUCUGGGAACCCCAAACAGCUUCCACUAUCGGGGGAGGUUUUUAUAUGCCAGUUAAUUACCCCAAGCAAAUGACAUUUUCUGCAUACAUCGAGAACGUUUAGAAAAUGGAUUUGCUUUGAGUUUAAGACAGAACUUCAUGGACUUGUCCUUAUUUUACCACCAAACGAUCGAGAAGUAUUUUAUAGAAGUUGACAGAACUGUUGUACGUACAAGACGCAGCUACUGAUUUCCAUACUAAAAAAAGCUUCUCAAGCCACUGAUGAAUUUGGAAUCAACAUUUCUAUGAUGUUCUGUAGUCCAAAUCUGUUAAAGAUAAUUUACAUGUCAUUUUAUAGUAUUAAUUAACUGACUAUAAAAGCCCAGUUUACCACCCUUAGUGAGUCGGUACCAUUGCUCAGUGAAUACAAAUGCAGUAGUGUCAUAAUGUAUAUAUUAUAAAGUGUAUUUAAUUUCAGUUACUAUUUAAAUGCCUAGGUCUUAGUAUUAGUACUUAAUCUGACGUAAAAUCUUUGGUGGGCAUUUAGAAUUUGGGAGAACAUGAAUGCAUGGCCCUUUUUAUGGAUAAUAACUUCUUUUAUUCUUUGUACGACGUACAGAGCUACCUCUUGCUCCUUCGGGGCGGUCGGGUAGCCUAGUGGUUAAAGCGUUCGCUCGUCACGCCGAAGACCCGGGUUCGAUUCCCGACGUGGGUACAAUGUGUGAAGCCCAUUUCUGGUGUCGCCCGCCGUAAUAUUGCUGAAAUAUUGCUAAAAACGGCGUAAAACCAUACUCACUCACUCUUGCUCCUUCGUCAGAUAAAUGCUUGAUGAGGGAGCAAAAAGUAGGUCUGAAACUUUCGUUCAAACAGUACAAGAAGUUGCUAUCCAUAUAAAGGUGUCAUGUAUUUAAUCUAACAUGCCGCACUGAUACAACAGCAGUUGCCAUUGUGUUUGUCUGCAAUAUUGUUUCUCUGGGCUUUUAGCGACUGGGUGACUCGUCAGCUCACUUUUACACUUUCAUUGGAGUCUCUUGGGUGCAAGUGGAUACAUUAAAAUUGCAACAAUGUAUUCCUUGCGACCGACAAUAUUAUCUUUUUCAACCGUCUGAAGCAGUUUUUUCCUGAAAUCUUUCGAUGACAAUUUAUUUUAUCCGGUAAAAUGCUAGCCAUCAAAGAGUCUGUCCCUUACUAUGUCUGCUAAAAUGCUUCACAUAUGUAAGUUUAUAAUUGCUCUUUUCAAAAAGCAUUCUCAAGUGUGUGUGUUACUUAUCGUGUACACAUAUUAUAUCUAUCUAUCUACCUUUAAAUAAAUUGAAAUUGUUUACCUAACAUGGGGACCAGUUCAAAAGUUCGAUGAUGGAUAAAACUCUUGUGCAGUGUGUGAUAUGGAAUGGCAGAUCAAACCGAACUUUUUGUUGACAUUUAUAUAAUGUUCCUUUGGACCGACAUUUACCUUCAGGUGGGUGACCAUGGUAAUUACAUACCUGGGGUAACUGACAUCAUUGGGCUCGGUGCCAUACUCACGGGCCUUUCAUCAGUCUUUCGAGCUAACGCCAUCUGCUAUGAUGAAACUAUCAUCUAAAGAACUUCAACCUGCAUUUGGAUUCCAUCAACAAACUACUCUGGAUACUGUACACGUAUUUAGGGACCCGUGAAGAUCCGGAGUAGAAUAGGUCUUCAGCAACCCAUGCUUGCCAUAAAUGGCGACGGGUGGUCAGGCUCGCGGACUUGGUUGAUGAAUGACAUCGUAUCCCAAUUGCGUGGAUCGAUGCUCAUGAUAUCAAUCACUGGGUUGUCUGGUCCAGACACGAUUAUUUACAGACCAUCAUAUAGCAGGAAUAUUGCUGAGUGCGGCGUUAAACAACAAACCAACACGGAUUUAGACAGGAUGCAUGUCUUACACCUAAUCUCAAUUUGAGAAAAGGUAACGUGGAGUAUGACGUCUCUGAAACUUUCAUUUCUUUAAGGAUAGUAGAAAUCAAUUUUGGUUUCUCAAAUGAGAGGUGAUGGCGAAGGACUCCCGGAAAUAAUGGGUACUGAAGCUGUCCAGAAUUAACCUGUUCCUGGUGUUAUGAGUGACGUUGUAUAUUUGUGUGGUUCACAAGGGGUCCAGUUUGGGUGGUCGGCGUCAUGCUUGAUUGACUGUGAGAAGCGUGCUUGUGGGGUGAUUGAGUUGGUAACUGAUUGGUGUGUGCUGAAGUAGAUAGCUUACUUGGAAAUUUGUUUACUAUAUGAGGGCAAGUUAUCGAACAGAAAUGGGGGAGGGAGAAAUAUGGCUUAACUGAACGAGGGCAGUUCAGUCCGGAGACAAAGUUAGGUCAUGUCGAAGGAGGAAACUGGAACAAUGUGAAAUGGAAUUCAUUGGGAAUAUGAUGUCAAGAAAACUGAGGUGACUAUUACCUACAUUGCUUUGCUCAGAUGUGUCCCCAAUGAUUCGGAGUUGGUUUUGUCACUGGUCACACGUAUGGAAUUAUUCUAUUCUCACCGAGGCCCAAGUUUUAGCACAUCCAACGAGCUCAGAAAAAUGGAUUUUGUGGGUGUACGUUUGCAUAAUGAUUGCAAGUCGACAGCUUGGGUUACUUUAAAUAUAGAAAUAUCUUGUGUAGUUGAGCAGAAUAAAUGUUGUGUGCCAGCC
Molecule: long non-coding RNA, 5042 nt
Filed under: Haliotis rufescens (red abalone)
Lineage: Eukaryota; Metazoa; Mollusca; Gastropoda; Lepetellida; Haliotidae
Description: uncharacterized LOC124121941
Rfam family: tRNA (bases 3057-3115)
Source: RNAcentral